RNAcentral lists this ribosomal RNA (468 nucleotides) under uncultured bacterium. RNAcentral describes it as "partial 16S ribosomal RNA". It matches the Rfam family "Bacterial small subunit ribosomal RNA", at positions 28 to 507 of the family's 1533-position model. The record is from RNAcentral.
GACGAACGCUGGCGGCGUGCUUAACACAUGCAAGUCGAACGGAAAGGCCCUGCUUUUGUGGGGUGCUCGAGUGGCGAACGGGUGAGUAACACGUGAGUAACCUGCCCUUGACUUUGGGAUAACUUCAGGAAACUGGGGCUAAUACCGUAUAGGAGCUCCUGCUGCAUGGUGGGGGUUGGAAAGUUUCGGCGGGUGGGGAUGGACUCGCGGCUUAUCAGCUUGUUGGUGGGGUAGUGGCUUACCCAGGCUUUGACGGGUAGCCGGCCUGAGAGGGUGACCGGCCACAUUGGGACUGAGAGACGGCGCAGACUCCUACGGGAGGCAGCAGUGGGGAAUAUUGCACAAUGGGCGGAAGCCGGAUGCAGAAACGCCGCGUGCGGGAUGACGGCCUUCGGGUUGUAAACCGCUUUCGCCUGUGACGAAGCGUGAGUGACGGUAAUGGGUAAAGAAGCACCGGCUAACUACGUG